AGGAUGUCACCUUGUCCUGGGCAAGUUAUUGGGCAAGACCAGGCAGCUCCAGUGCUAAUUUAAUGCUGGGAAGAGAGUCGGGGAACCUGCAGCUCUGGCCAGCUUUCCCCCAAGGAAUCCCAGCCCUACCAGCCUCCUCCCUGUCUCUGGCACAUACCAGUUCACAGCCAGAUCAGUAGAGCAGAGGUGUACAAUGGGGAGGCUCUGGCCUGAGAAGAGGAAGCCCCUGAGAGCAUUCAAAGGGUCAAGAGAGGACUAAGGCAAGACCUCUUGGAUUAGGAAAAAGGUCAUAGCAACCCAAAGGAGGCGGAGCAACUGGAGUUCAAGACAUUCACCUUAAAAGGUACACUCAGUUGCCCCUGCGUUUGGACUUUGCUGACCUGGAAAAAAGAGAACUGCAUAGUAAUCCAUUUGUGUUCCAUCUCGUCAAAAGUAUAGCACCUGUGGGGGCUGAGCUGGUGUUUCGUGGGAUCAUGAUGAUUCUCUGACUUGAAGUGCAAGGACUGGGAAAAAAUUCCAUGUCUGUAAGAAAAUGAAUCCUAAAGAUUCCAGUGUUGUACCUUAUCCAUUGAUAUAUUCAUUCAUUCAUCCAUUCACCCACUCAUUCAUCAAUGUAGUAUUUCCCAAAUGUCACUCAUUCCUGUACUACUUUCAUCAUUUUUUAUAAUCUGUAAGAUAUUUUUGCUUUGUGUUUUUCUUUAUUGGACUAUUUUACUUAAAUAAAUUUAGCCUCAGCCUAAG
This 741-nucleotide long non-coding RNA is filed under the name Homo sapiens (human). RNAcentral describes it as "non-protein coding lnc-CITED4-1:1". Lineage: Eukaryota; Metazoa; Chordata; Mammalia; Primates; Hominidae. The record is from RNAcentral.